This 464-nucleotide ribosomal RNA is filed under the name uncultured bacterium. RNAcentral describes it as "bacterial SSU rRNA". It matches the Rfam family "Bacterial small subunit ribosomal RNA", at positions 330 to 792 of the family's 1533-position model. The record is from RNAcentral.
UCCAGACUCCUACGGGAGGCAGCAGUGAGGAAUAUUGGUCAAUGGUCGGGAGACUGAACCAGCCAAGCCGCGUGAGGGAUGAAGGUACAGAGUAUCGUAAACCUCUUUUGUCAGGGAACAAAGGCGGGGACGCGUCCCCGGAUGAGUGUACCUGAAGAAAGAGCAUCGGCUAACUCCGUGCCAGCAGCCGCGGUAAUACGGAGGAUGCGAGCGUUAUCCGGAUUUAUUGGGUUUAAAGGGUGCGCAGGCGGUCUGUUAAGUCAGCGGUCAAAGCCCGGGGCUCAACCCCGUCGUGCCGUUGAAACUGACACCCUUGAGUGAGUGAGAAGUAAGCGGAAUUCGUGGUGUAGCGGUGAAAUGCUUAGAUAUCACGAAGAACUCCGAUUGCGAAGGCAGCCUACUAAACUGCCACUGACAUUGAUGCUCGAAAGUGUGGGUAUCAAACAGGAUUAGAUACCCGGGUA